GGCUCAGAGACCAUUGAGUAGGACAUCAGUGAUGUGCAGACAGUACUCGAUGAUGAUAUAGCCGAUUGCAAUUGGGAGCCAGGGGACGAAGGGGCUUCAUCAUCAUUGGGAGAAGAGGGUGGCAGCUUGCGCGUGAGGCAGCGGCGGAGUCAGUAAAAGUGGAUGCUCAACAGACAGGAUCCAUUUUUUGGGGGGUUAUUGUUCUGACAGAU
Molecule: long non-coding RNA, 212 nt
Organism: Bufo bufo (common toad)
Lineage: Eukaryota; Metazoa; Chordata; Amphibia; Anura; Bufonidae
Exons: 3
Source: RefSeq, a predicted model, not a curated record